Long non-coding RNA from Talpa occidentalis (Iberian mole), 588 nucleotides. RefSeq lists it as uncharacterized. The record is from RefSeq and is a predicted model, not a curated record. The transcript is spliced from 4 exons. Lineage: Eukaryota; Metazoa; Chordata; Mammalia; Eulipotyphla; Talpidae.
AUGUAAUAGCAGCUCUCCUGCCCAGCUGUGACUAUGCAGAAGUUCUGAGCUGUUGUUAAGAAAUCUGACUACCUGUGGGAGGCACCAGGCAGAUGCCAUGUAGAAAUGGAAGAACCUAAGACUGCACCGGAAAGAGGUCAAGUGGGCCCAGCAUCGCAACUGAAAACCAACCUCCCGCCUGACCGUCCAAGGCACCAGACAGUUGAGAGAGUCACCUUGAAUGUUCCAGCCCAAGCAGACCCCCAGAUGGCUGCAGUCCCAGCUGAUAUUCCGUGAAGUAGAUCUUCUCAGGACCUGAGAACCAUAGAUGGAUCUGAACCAGGAUCUUCCUAAAGAUAAAAUGUUGAAAGAGAGAUCGAGAUUUAUGAAGUCAAGAAAGAAGUACUACACCCUUAAGCAGCAAAAGUCCAAAUUACAAUGCAACAAUCAUAUGAAAAGAAGUGACUUAAAAAUGACCUGAAACCAGACUGUCUCCAGUUGUUCAUCCAUAAUGAACAUCUGUUACCUGGCAUCCACUGGCAGUGAUUCCCUGAGGAAACAGGGUGGGCCUGAGUUAUAAUGUUUCCAAAUAAAACUAGCUGAAGUACU